GGGUAGGGGUAGGGUUAAGGGUUGGGGUAGGGUAAUGGUUGGGGUAGGGGUGGGGGUAGGGUUAGUGGUUGAAAUAGGGUUAUGGGUAACCCUAACCCUAACCCUACCACUAACCCUACCCCUAACCCUACCCUAACCCUACACCUAACCCUAUCCCUAACUCUACCCCUAAUUUAACCCUACUCUAACCCUACCCCCACUCUAAUCCUACCCCUAAUCUAACCCUACCCAUAACCCUACCUCUAACCCUACCCCUAACCC
Non-coding RNA from Pelobates cultripes (western spadefoot toad), 261 nucleotides. NCBI's taxonomy places the organism in Eukaryota, Metazoa, Chordata, Amphibia, Anura, Pelobatidae. The record is from the annotation of a GenBank genome assembly.